This is a long non-coding RNA of Daphnia carinata, 1101 nucleotides long. RefSeq lists it as uncharacterized. The transcript has 4 exons. Lineage: Eukaryota; Metazoa; Arthropoda; Branchiopoda; Diplostraca; Daphniidae. The record is from RefSeq and is a predicted model, not a curated record.
CCACCCCAGUGACAGGAGAAACGCUGUCCUUGAACCGUAACCUCAAACAUAAAAAAGGUCAAUUAGAGUAUCAAUUUAAGGGCACAGAAUGUUUUGGGUUAUUGCAUGUGUACUGUAGUAAGUUAGAAGUGAGACCUACAAACAAGAAUGUUGUGGGAUGAAAAACAGGAUUCCUUACCGAUGUUGCCGAAACGAACACGAGGAACGACUGAUCGUGACGUUCACGUUUUUACGUUGCAUCAUAUUGACACCCCUUGUAUCAUUUAAACUAUAGUUCUAGAAAGCGAAUAGUCUUUCUUUAACUGGAAUGGAUGAUGGAACUACUGCUGCGUGACUGUCAGACAGUACCAAUGGAUACAGUACAAUCAAAGCUUAGAUAGAGUGUAUCACAAGUCAAACAACCAUGGACAAAAUCUCUCCCAGUGUGUGUUAAUUGAUUGGACAAUAGUCAAGAUGAUAAGGAUGUUGGAAGAAGGAUAUGGUGGGUAGCUCCCAGCACAUGGUUAUGCCGUUUUCAGUGAUGACAAGAACUCCUGCAGGCCUUUUACGGAGUUUGAAAACAAUCAUGUUUUGGUUGAUUCCUCAGUUGAUGAGCUCUAUUGCUUUUCACAUUCAACAUUACAUUAGGUUCAGUAUUAAACAUCACAUUAGAUUACAAAUCCACUUCCAUACUUUUCAUUUCUAUAGGUAAGGAUUUUUACCAUGCGAGAUAUGAGGAUUUAUUAGAAUUACUUUCAAAGAUUGUGUAAGUUUUUCAAGCAAAAUGUUUUUUAUUGAUCUGUGUUUUAUUUUCUUUGUUUAGAAAAUAAAUAAUGGUGGAUCAGAAAAAGUUUUUGCUUAGACAAGAUGCUGAGGCUGAACACCAUUACUCCAAUUGAAAAUGAAUGGACACAGUUAAAAAGUUCAGAAGAGACUUGUAUUGGAUCACCUUGCAACCUAUUACUUUCAAUUGAGACACUCAUAUGGAUUGCAUAGAGAUAUGUAAUAAUGUAUUUUAGAACAUACAAUCUAUGGCAACAAGCAUCUAUAGAAAAACGGCUUAUCUAAUGAUGAUAUGUUGUACUAAUAAUAUUAACUCUUUUGCUAAUCUUUAUCAUAUAG